This 253-nucleotide ribosomal RNA is filed under the name uncultured bacterium. RNAcentral's name for it is "partial 16S ribosomal RNA". It matches the Rfam family "Bacterial small subunit ribosomal RNA", at positions 524 to 776 of the family's 1533-position model. The record is from RNAcentral.
UACGUAGGGUGCAAGCGUUAAUCGGAAUUACUGGGCGUAAAGCGUGCGCAGGCGGUUUUGUAAGUCUGUCUUGAAAGCCCCGGGCUCAACCUGGGAAUUGCGAUGGAGACUGCAAGGCUUGAAUCUGGCAGAGGGGGGUAGAAUUCCACGUGUAGCAGUGAAAUGCGUAGAGAUGUGGAGGAACACCGAUGGCGAAGGCAGCCCCCUGGGUCAAGAUUGACGCUCAUGCACGAAAGCGUGGGGAGCAAACAGG